Molecule: long non-coding RNA, 784 nt
Organism: Toxorhynchites rutilus septentrionalis
Lineage: Eukaryota; Metazoa; Arthropoda; Insecta; Diptera; Culicidae
Exons: 3
Source: RefSeq, a predicted model, not a curated record
AUUUGCGAUGCAAUGUUUCUCUUCUCUUCAGGGACUGGACAUACAUAUUUUCUGUAAAUAUUACCAACUGUAUGUUAAAUGAAUGUCUGAUGCAAUACAUAUCCCCGACAACGAUUGGUACAUUUUACUAGGGGGUAUCGUUAACUUUGACGAUUGUCAUUACUGGCAACCGCAAAGAAAAUGUAAACAUAACAUUAUUAACCCAAUUGCCGUGCUGAUAGAUGAGUUGAGCGGAACUACUUUCCUAUAUUGAUUUCUCCACAGAAGAAGGACGAAUUAACCCAGAUUCAGGAAAGCCAAACAAUGAUCCGUGCUGCUGGGGGAGAAUGCGAAGAUAUUACUUCAAUAAUGAGGAAUCUGGCGAUUUCGAGGCCCAAGAACGAGCCCCGCUGAGUCCUAAUUCCACCGCUAUGCUGUCGGUUUAGGUCAAGGGUAACUUCAUAAAAGAUUUGCUGACGAUUGUAAUUGGUGGUUCGAUCAAUUGGAUGUUUUCGGACGAAGAUUCCGUUUCCACCGACGCUGUGCUCCAACUCAAUGUUGCAAGGGGACAUAGAGCUGACUUCAAUUAAUGCCGCCUGGGUUUCGUCAGCUUCGUGGUAUUUCCCGAAUUUGGUUGGCUGAUAAGUAUUUACACGCUGGUCCUGGGAGAGAGUAAUGCCGCGGACCAGAACUCAAUCGAUGCAGAAUCAGAUGUCGUGCGCUGCACUAGCCGUGACACAAGUUAAUAUGCAAUGUAAUUUUGUUAAUAUCGCAUUUUAGAUAGUUCAAUAAAUCACUAAAACUA